GUGGACUCGGAGGCGAUCCUUGCAUAUUUCAAUGCAAAUAUGAAUGUAGUCUUUGAGAAUGAUAAUAGA
Molecule: small RNA, 69 nt
Filed under: Chaetoceros curvisetus
Lineage: Eukaryota; Bacillariophyta; Thalassiosirophyceae; Chaetocerotales; Chaetocerotaceae
Description: partial Mitochondrion-encoded tmRNA
Source: RNAcentral